This 635-nucleotide long non-coding RNA is filed under the name Eucalyptus grandis. RNAcentral describes it as "long non-coding RNA (EGRA_LNC004669)". The record is from RNAcentral. Lineage: Eukaryota; Viridiplantae; Streptophyta; Magnoliopsida; Myrtales; Myrtaceae.
GGAGGGGUCUCCGACGCCGUCCGAGCCUCCUCACGUCGUUGCCGCUCCACCCGAGUCGGCUGCCGUCCCGCCAGCAGCUGGAGUUCCUCCUCUCCCGCCCCUGCUUCACCUGCGAGCUCGCGCCGCCAUCCCCGACGCUGUCGCCAUCGCUGCACUAGAUCUCCGCCGAGUCGUUGUCGCCCACCACCAUCUGCUACAAUGUAGUCCCGACGCUGACCAACCGAGAGAGGAAGGAGAUCGGAGGAGGUCUAGAGACCCAGAUUUGAGGACGAGGGUCGGGCAAGGGCCAGAUUUGGAAUCGAUCGAGCUCCGUCGCCCCCCUCUGUCCCUGAUGUUGUCCGAGCUGCUACCCUUCGAGCGACGCCGGGGACUCCAUCACCGUAGUUGCUGUUUUCGCGGUUGCCGAAGCUUCGGACGCUUGUCGUUGUUGUAGCCCUCAGCCAAGCCGACGCCCAGCCCUGUCGCCGAGCCACCGCACGCCUCCGCCUCUGGUCCAACACACAGCACCAGCCCUCGAGCCACCUCCUCGCUGCCCGACGCCGUCUGUGCUGCUGCCCUCCGAACGUCGCUUCCUGCAGCCCGAAGCUACGACGCCGCCGUUGCAAUUCUCGCCGCUUCAAACCGACGCCGUCCUC